This 1026-nucleotide ribosomal RNA is filed under the name Nawawia filiformis. Its description in RNAcentral is "SSU rRNA". It matches the Rfam family "Eukaryotic small subunit ribosomal RNA", at positions 68 to 1105 of the family's 1831-position model. Lineage: Eukaryota; Fungi; Ascomycota; Sordariomycetes; Chaetosphaeriales. The record is from RNAcentral.
AGCAUUAUACGGCGAAACUGCGAAUGGCUCAUUAAAUCAGUUAUCGUUUAUUUGAUAGUACCUUUCCUACUUGGAUAACCGUGGUAAUUCUAGAGCUAAUACAUGCUAAAAAUCCCGACUUCGGAAGGGAUGUAUUUAUUAGAUACAGAACCAAUGCCCUCCGGGGCUCUCUGGUGAAUCAUGAUAACUCCGCGGAUCGCACGGCCUUGCGCCGGCGAUGGUUCAUUCAAAUUUCUGCCCUAUCAACUUUCGACGGCUGGGUCUUGGCCAGCCGUGGUGACAACGGGUAACGGAGGGUUAGGGCUCGACCCCGGAGAAGGAGCCUGAGAGACGGCUACUACAUCCAAGGAAGGCAGCAGGCGCGCAAAUUACCCAAUCCCGACUCGGGGAGGUAGUGACGAUAAAUACUGAUCCAGGGCUCUUUUGGGUCUUGGAAUUGGAAUGAGUACAAUUUAAAUCCCUUAACGAGGAACAAUUGGAGGGCAAGUCUGGUGCCAGCAGCCGCGGUAAUUCCAGCUCCAAUAGCGUAUAUUAAAGUUGUUGAGGUUAAAAAGCUCGUAGUUGAACCUUGGGCCUGGCUGGCCGGUCCGCCUCACCGCGUGCACUGGUCCGGCCGGGCCUUUCCCUCUGGGGAACCGCAUGCCCUUCGCUGGGCGUGUCGGGGAACCAGGACUUUUACUCUGAACAAAUCAGAUCGCUCAAAGAAGGCUCUCGCUCGAAUGCAUUAGCAUGGAAUAAUGGAAUAGGACGUGUGGUUCUAUUUUGUUGGUUUCUAGGACCGCCGUAAUGAUUAAUAGGGACAGUCGGGGGCAUCAGUAUUCAAUUGUCAGAGGUGAAAUUCUUGGAUCUAUUGAAGACUAACUACUGCGAAAGCAUUUGCCAAGGAUGUUUUCAUUAAUCAGGAACGAAAGUUAGGGGAUCGAAGACGAUCAGAUACCGUCGUAGUCUUAACCAUAAACUAUGCCGAUUAGGGAUCGGACGAUGUUAUUUUUUGACUCGUUCGGCACCUUACGAUAAAUCAAAAUG